UACGUAGGUGGCAAGCGUUGUCCGGAAUUAUUGGGCGUAAAGCGCGCGCAGGCGGUCCUUUUAAGUCUGAUGUGAAAAGCCCACGGCUCAACCGUGGAGGGUCAUUGGAAACUGGGGGGACUUGAGUGCAGGAGAGAAGAGUGGAAUUCCACGUGUAGCGGUGAAAUGCGUAGAGAUGUGGAGGAACACCAGUGGCGAAGGCGACUCUUUGGCCUGUAACUGACGCUGAGGCGCGAAAAGCGUGGGGGAGCAAACAGG
RNAcentral lists this ribosomal RNA (258 nucleotides) under uncultured bacterium. RNAcentral's name for it is "partial 16S ribosomal RNA". It matches the Rfam family "Bacterial small subunit ribosomal RNA", at positions 524 to 776 of the family's 1533-position model. The record is from RNAcentral.